GAUCUAGGGAAGCAUCUCUAGCAGGAGAUUAGAGAACUAGUGUGUUCCUCAUGCCUGAUGGUUCACACAACAGGUUAAAGGAAGCAUGAAGGUGAGCUAGACCACUGUGAUUAGAUAAAGAAAGCAGACUCAGUGGCCUCUACACCUGCUUUUGCAUAACGUGAGACAGACCCAGAUGCACAGAGAGCUCUGAAAUGUCAUGAAGGAAGCAGAUGAAGAAGACAGUACAGGACAGAGCCCUUUUCAGAGCAACGUGAUUAAUAGCUCACUUUCAAGAACAGCAUGCAGGGUGCAUGCUUGCCCACAUGACAAAAGAUACUCAGAUACAAGCCCACAUGACAAAAGAUACUCAGAUCC
Molecule: long non-coding RNA, 357 nt
Organism: Homo sapiens (human)
Lineage: Eukaryota; Metazoa; Chordata; Mammalia; Primates; Hominidae
Exons: 3
Source: RefSeq, a predicted model, not a curated record